This 403-nucleotide ribosomal RNA is filed under the name uncultured Bacillota bacterium. Its description in RNAcentral is "bacterial SSU rRNA". It matches the Rfam family "Bacterial small subunit ribosomal RNA", at positions 356 to 774 of the family's 1533-position model. Lineage: Bacteria; Bacillati; Bacillota. The record is from RNAcentral.
GGGGAAUAUUGCGCAAUGGGGGAAACCCUGACGCAGCGACGCCGCGUGAGCGAAGAAGGCCUUCGGGGUGUAAAGCUCUGUUCUAAGGGACGAAGGAGUGACGGUACCUUUGGAGGAAGCGCCGGCCAACUACGUGCCAGCAGCCGCGGUAAGACGUAGGGGGCGAGCGUUGUCCGGAAUCAUUGGGCGUAAAGGGCGCGUAGGCGGUGACGUAAGUCAGGCGUGAAAGGCAUCGGCUCAACCGACGCACAUAGCCUGAUACUACGUUGCUACAGUGCAGGAGAGGAGAGUGGAAUUCCAGGUGUAGCGGUGAAAUGCGUAGAUAUCUGGAAGAACACCAGUGGCGAAGGCGGCUCUCUGGACUGUAACUGACGCUGAGGCGCGAAAGCUGGGGGAGCAAACA